UGGCCGUGCCCCCAAAGCAGGGAUUCUGUC
This 30-nucleotide non-coding RNA is filed under the name Mus musculus (house mouse). Lineage: Eukaryota; Metazoa; Chordata; Mammalia; Rodentia; Muridae. The record is from RNAcentral.